UUAAGUUAGAAAGGGCGCACGGUGGAUGCCUUGACACUAGGAGUCGAUGAAGGACGGGACUAACGCCGAUAUGCUUCGGGGAGCUGUAAGUAAGCUUUGAUCCGAAGAUUUCCGAAUGGGGAAACCCACCAUACGUAAUGGUAUGGUAUCCUUAUCUGAAUACAUAGGGUAAGGAAGACAGACCCAGGGAACUGAAACAUCUAAGUACCUGGAGGAAGAGAAAGCAAAUGCGAUUUCCUGAGUAGCGGCGAGCGAAACGGAACAUAGCCCAAACCAAGAGGCUUGCCUCUUGGGGUUGUAGGACAUUCUAUACGGAGUUACAAAGGAACGAGGUAGACGAAGCGACCUGGAAAGGUUCGUCGUAGAGGGUAACAACCCCGUAGUCGAAACUUCGUUCUCUCUUGAAUGUAUCCUGAGUACGGCGGAACACGUGAAAUUCCGUCGGAAUCUGGGAGAACCAUCUCCCAAGGCUAAAUACUCCCUAGUGAUCGAUAGUGAACCAGUACCGUGAGGGAAAGGUGAAAAGCACCCCGGAAGGGGAGUGAAAGAGAUCCUGAAACCGUGUGCCUACAAAUAGUCAGAGCCCGUUAACGGGUGAUGGCGUGCCUUUUGUAGAAUGAACCGGCGAGUUACGAUCCCGUGCGAGGUUAAGCUGAAGAGGCGGAGCCGCAGCGAAAGCGAGCCUGAAUAGGGCGUUUAGUACGUGGUCGUAGACCCGAAACCAGGUGAUCUACCCAUGUCCAGGGUGAAGUUCAGGUAACACUGAAUGGAGGCCCGAACCCACGCACGUUGAAAAGUGCGGGGAUGAGGUGUGGGUAGCGGAGAAAUUCCAAUCGAACCUGGAGAUAGCUGGUUCUCCCCGAAAUAGCUUUAGGGCUAGCCUUAAGUGUAAGAGUCUUGGAGGUAGAGCACUGAUUGGACUAGGGGUCCUCAUCGGAUUACCGAAUUCAGUCAAACUCCGAAUGCCAAUGACUUAUCCUUAGGAGUCAGACUGCGAGUGAUAAGAUCCGUAGUCAAAAGGGAAACAGCCCAGACCGCCAGCUAAGGUCCCAAAGUGUGUAUUAAGUGGAAAAGGAUGUGGAGUUGCUUAGACAACUAGGAUGUUGGCUUAGAAGCAGCCACCAUUUAAAGAGUGCGUAAUAGCUCACUAGUCGAGUGACUCUGCGCCGAAAAUGUACCGGGGCUAAAUACACCACCGAAGCUGCGGAUUGAUACCGAAUGGUAUCAGUGGUAGGGGAGCGUUCUAAGGACAGUGAAGUCAGACCGUAAGGACUGGUGGAGUGCUUAGAAGUGAGAAUGCCGGUAUGAGUAGCGAAAGACGGGUGAGAAUCCCGUCCACCGAAUGCCUAAGGUUUCCUGAGGAAGGCUCGUCCGCUCAGGGUUAGUCAGGACCUAAGCCGAGGCCGACAGGCGUAGGCGAUGGACAACAGGUUGAUAUUCCUGUACCACCUCUUUAUCGUUUGAGCAAUGGAGGGACGCAGAAGGAUAGAAGAAGCGUGCGAUUGGUUGUGCACGUCCAAGCAGUUAGGCUGAUAAGUAGGCAAAUCCGCUUAUCAUAAAGGCUGAGCUGUGAUGGGGAAGCUCCUUAUGGAGCGAAGUCUUUGAUUCCCCGCUGCCAAGAAAAGCUUCUAGCGAGAUAAAAGGUGCCUGUACCGCAAACCGACACAGGUAGGCGAGGAGAGAAUCCUAAGGUGUGCGAGAGAACUCUGGUUAAGGAACUCGGCAAAAUGACCCCGUAACUUCGGGAGAAGGGGUGCUUUCUUAACGGAAAGCCGCAGUGAAUAGGCCCAAGCGACUGUUUAGCAAAAACACAGCUCUCUGCGAAGCCGUAAGGCGAAGUAUAGGGGGUGACACCUGCCCGGUGCUGGAAGGUUAAGGAGAGGGGUUAGCGUAAGCGAAGCUCUGAACUGAAGCCCCAGUAAACGGCGGCCGUAACUAUAACGGUCCUAAGGUAGCGAAAUUCCUUGUCGGGUAAGUUCCGACCCGCACGAAAGGUGUAACGAUUUGGGCACUGUCUCAACCAGAGACUCGGUGAAAUUAUAGUACCUGUGAAGAUGCAGGUUACCCGCGACAGGACGGAAAGACCCCGUGGAGCUUUACUGUAGCCUGAUAUUGAAUUUUGGUACAGUUUGUACAGGAUAGGCGGGAGCCAUUGAAACCGGAGCGCUAGCUUCGGUGGAGGCGCUGGUGGGAUACCGCCCUGACUGUAUUGAAAUUCUAACCUACGGGUCUUAUCGACCCGGGAGACAGUGUCAGGUGGGCAGUUUGACUGGGGCGGUCGCCUCCUAAAGUGUAACGGAGGCGCCCAAAGGUUCCCUCAGAAUGGUUGGAAAUCAUUCGUAGAGUGCAAAGGCAUAAGGGAGCUUGACUGCGAGACCUACAAGUCGAGCAGGGACGAAAGUCGGGCUUAGUGAUCCGGUGGUUCCGCAUGGAAGGGCCAUCGCUCAACGGAUAAAAGCUACCCCGGGGAUAACAGGCUUAUCUCCCCCAAGAGUCCACAUCGACGGGGAGGUUUGGCACCUCGAUGUCGGCUCAUCGCAUCCUGGGGCUGUAGUCGGUCCCAAGGGUUGGGCUGUUCGCCCAUUAAAGCGGUACGCGAGCUGGGUUCAGAACGUCGUGAGACAGUUCGGUCCCUAUCCGUCGUGGGCGUAGGAAAUUUGAGAGGAGCUGUCCUUAGUACGAGAGGACCGGGAUGGACGCACCGCUGGUGUACCAGUUGUUCUGCCAAGGGCAUAGCUGGGUAGCUAUGUGCGGAAGGGAUAAGUGCUGAAAGCAUCUAAGCAUGAAGCCCCCCUCAAGAUGAGAUUUCCCAUAGCGUAAGCUAGUAAGAUCCCUGAAAGAUGAUCAGGUUGAUAGGUUCGAGGUGGAAGCAUGGUGACAUGUGGAGCUGACGAAUACUAAUAGAUCGAGGACUUAACCAU
This 2921-nucleotide ribosomal RNA is filed under the name Bacillus thuringiensis serovar indiana. RNAcentral's name for it is "bacterial LSU rRNA". It matches the Rfam family "Bacterial large subunit ribosomal RNA". The record is from RNAcentral. Lineage: Bacteria; Bacillati; Bacillota; Bacilli; Caryophanales; Bacillaceae.